UUUCACUGAAACAAGGGGAAAGCUCAAAUGGGGUGUUGGCCCCCGAGGCAGCAGUAAAGAAUUUUGUGCAAUAUACGAAAGUAAGACACAGAGAGGGCACAUUACCUAGUCCGUCAAAUUAAGUGCCAGCAGACGCGGUGAAACUUAAGGGCUAGUCUUAUAGGCAAAAGCGUAAAGGGUGUGAUAGGCCGUUUUAUUUAAGAGAGUAAAUGGAAUUUUUCUGUAACGGUGGUAUGUGUAAAUAGGAAAAAGAACUUUAGACGUGAAGACUAUUUACUUCUAAGAUUAUAAUGUGUUGGCUAAAACACGAGAGUAUGGGGAGCAAACAGGAUUAGGUACCCUGGUAGUCCAUACUGUAAAUAAUGAAAAAGAUGUGAAGCAAUUCUAAAAGGUAAAAACUUUUCCGCUUGAGUAGUACGAUCGCAAGAUUAAAAUUCAAAAAACUUGGCUGUUCACUGUUUUGAUUAGAGGAGCGUGUCGUUUAAUUCGAUAGUCCGCGAGAGACCUUACCCAAACUUGAAUCCCUCAUUGACAGGUAUUGCAUGGCCGUCGUCAAUUUGUGUAUUAAACAUAAAACAAAUUCAACCCAGUGGUUUGUCUAUUGGAUGAAGUCAGGUCUUAUUGUCCUAAUGUUUGGGGAUUAGAUGCGCUACAUUUUUUUAUACAAUGGGAAACUUUAAGUGUGAAACCCAAAAAUAAGAGUUCGGAAGGUGCCUGUAAUAUAACGGGAAGUUGGAUUUAAUAGUAAUUGAAAAGUAGAGCGUUUCAAUGAAAUUUAUUCAGUGUUAGUACAAAUUGCCCGUCGCCUUUGCUUAGAAAGGUUGUUUGGUUGCCCCUCAAGAGGGUUCCUAAUAUCUUCGAGGUAGAGUAAGUCGUAACA
This 880-nucleotide ribosomal RNA is filed under the name Goniopora stokesi. RNAcentral's name for it is "partial 12S small subunit ribosomal RNA". It matches the Rfam family "Bacterial small subunit ribosomal RNA", at positions 314 to 1493 of the family's 1533-position model. Lineage: Eukaryota; Metazoa; Cnidaria; Anthozoa; Scleractinia; Poritidae. The record is from RNAcentral.